CCUACGUGAUGCUGCAGUGGGGAAUAUUGGACAAUGGGCGAAAGCCUGAUCCAGCCAUGCCGCGUGUGUGAAGAAGGCCUUCGGGUUGUAAAGCACUUUCAGUGGGGAAGAAAGCCUUGGGGCUAAUACCCUCGAGGAAGGACAUCACCCACAGAAGAAGCACCGGCUAACUCCGUGCCAGCAGCCGCGGUAAUACGGAGGGUGCGAGCGUUAAUCGGAAUUACUGGGCGUAAAGCGCGCGUAGGCGGUCUGAUAAGCCGGUUGUGAAAGCCCCGGGCUCAACCUGGGAACGGCAUCCGGAACUGUCAGGCUAGAGUGCAGGAGAGGAAGGUAGAAUUCCCGGUGUAGCGGUGAAAUGCGUAGAGAUCGGGAGGAAUACCAGUGGCGAAGGCGGCCUUCUGGACUGACACUGACGCUGAGGUGCGAAAGCGUGGGUAGCAAACAGGAUUAGAUACCCGAGUAGUC
RNAcentral lists this ribosomal RNA (465 nucleotides) under Vreelandella stevensii. RNAcentral describes it as "partial 16S ribosomal RNA". It matches the Rfam family "Bacterial small subunit ribosomal RNA", at positions 338 to 795 of the family's 1533-position model. The record is from RNAcentral. Lineage: Bacteria; Pseudomonadati; Pseudomonadota; Gammaproteobacteria; Oceanospirillales; Halomonadaceae.